GUGUAAUGAUGUCAAAGUGAAAGCUUGUCAGAGUGUAUGUCGGUUAUGGUGAUGCUUUUGUGUUUCAGAAUAAACUCGGGGACACUGCUCUGCACGCUGCUGCCUGGAAGGGGUAUUCUGACAUUGUGGAAAUGUUGCUCCGCAAAAAUCCAAGGACAGACAUCAGGAACAAUGAGAAAAAGCUGGCUCAAGAGAUGGCCACUGACGCAAUGUGUGCUUCACUUCUCAAAAGGAAGCAAGGAGGCAACAUCACCCGCACACUCAGCAACGCUGAAGAGUAUUUGGAUGACGAGGACUCAGACUGAUCUGGCGCUGUUGAGACAUCAUCACCGUCUUCCAUUUGGUUUGUGGGGCCUUGGAGCUCAGAGAGUUUUAUUACAGACCUAAAAUGGAUUUGCUGCUCUGUUUCCAACUGUAACUCCAUUUUAGUUCCGUUAUUUUGUGCAAACACCUCAGUUCUUGGCCCUCUGCGUCACGUCAGGGAGAAUUUCAGAGCAUUGAAUUGAUGCGUUUUAUAGUUUUUGCCAAGUGCAUUUCCUUAUGUGGGGGAUUUGUCUUGGAUGUUGCACACUGUGGACUGAGGGGCAGAGUAUAUGUUGCAGUGGAAAACGGACCAGCUCUAAGAAACACAUUCCAAACAUACAGAUUGUGUUCAACCCAUUUACACUGGGCAUUAAAGUGCCGGUGCAGAUUAAAAGAUUGAUCUGGUCUGUGUGUGUCAAAUUUUAAUGCUCCGUGUAAAUUACUGAACUACAAACUCGCCCAAAAGGAAUCAUAAACACAUUAUCUCUUGCAUCUUGGAGCUCUAUCACAACUAGGAACAAUUUAAAUCUGUUUAUGUACAUCAGUCGGAGACAAUGCAACGUGAAUUUAACUUAAAUAUUUCCCCUUUUUACCUGUUGUCUUUGUCAAAUUAAGGGUGUGAGUAAUGUGCUUUAACAGACCUAAUAGGGGAAAUGUUUCUCUAAACUGUUGUAUGGCAGCAAUCUCCCUCCCCUUCCUUCAUAAUGUCAUGAAACUCAUCUGUUACUCUGCACUGCACGUAUUUUGGUCUGUGUUAUAACACCACUGCUAUUAAAGAUCAGUUCAGUGUAAUUUUAAAAAAUCUGCCUUGUGUAAAACAGACUUAAAAUUAUUCUCAUCUUUGAAGCUUUUGAUGGUGAGAUUUCCAUCCUGGGAGCAAAUUUCUGGUUUUAUUGCUGCUUUCCAACAGAUUUUAUAUAUAUAUAUAUAUAAAAAAGUGCCUUAAAUAUCUGUAACAUAGCGAGUGUGUAUUUGGUUAUGUGUCAAUGUGAACCUGCUUUUUUCUUCAAGAUUUCUAUCUGCUCUCUCUUCAAUCUACAAUAAAAGAUUUUAACUUAAAA
Epinephelus moara (kelp grouper) is the source of this 1364-nucleotide long non-coding RNA. RefSeq lists it as uncharacterized. The transcript is spliced from 3 exons. The record is from RefSeq and is a predicted model, not a curated record. NCBI's taxonomy places the organism in Eukaryota, Metazoa, Chordata, Actinopteri, Perciformes, Serranidae.